CCUACGGGAGGCAGCAGUGAGGAAUAUUGGUCAAUGGGCUUACGCCUGAACCAGCCAAGUCGCGUGAGGGAAGACUGCCCUAUGGGUUGUAAACCUCUUUUGUCAGGGAGCAACGCCGGCUACGUGUAGCCGGACUGAGAGUACCUGCAGAAAAAGCAUCGGCUACCUCCGUGCCAGCAGCCGCGGUAAUACGGAGGAUGCGAGCGUUAUCCGGAUUUAUUGGGUUUAAAGGGUGCGUAGGCGGAAUGCCAAGUCAGCGGUAAAAUCGCGGGGCUCAACCUCGCUCCGCCGUUGAAACUGGCGGUCUUGAGUGGGCGAGAAGUAUGCGGAAUGCGUGGUGUAGCGGUGAAAUGCAUAGAUAUCACGCAGAACUCCGAUUGCGAAGGCAGCAUACCGGCGCCCAACUGACGCUGAAGCACGAAAGCGUGGGUAUCGAACAGGAUUAGAUACCCCUGUAGUC
This 460-nucleotide ribosomal RNA is filed under the name uncultured bacterium. Its description in RNAcentral is "partial 16S ribosomal RNA". It matches the Rfam family "Bacterial small subunit ribosomal RNA", at positions 338 to 795 of the family's 1533-position model. The record is from RNAcentral.